This 1404-nucleotide ribosomal RNA is filed under the name Alexandrium leei. Its description in RNAcentral is "LSU rRNA". It matches the Rfam family "Eukaryotic large subunit ribosomal RNA", at positions 62 to 1424 of the family's 3401-position model. The record is from RNAcentral. Lineage: Eukaryota; Dinophyceae; Gonyaulacales; Pyrocystaceae.
AGACAAUGGGAUUCCUUGAGUAAUUGCGAAUGAACAAGGAAAUGCUCACCUUGGAAAACUGGGUACCUUGGUCCCCUGAAUUGUAUUUUUGAAAUGUAUUACCAACUGGAUGUGCAGGUGCAAGCCUAUUGAAAGAAAGUGCCAUUGUGGGUGACAUUCCUUUUGCCAACUGUAAUCUUCCAUGCACGGUGUACAUUUAAUGAGUCACAUUCCUUGGCAUUGGAAUGCAAAUGUGGUGGUAAAUUCCAUGUAAAGGAAAAUAUGUCAUUGAGACUGAUAGCAAACAAGUACCAUGAGGGAGAUAUGAAAAGGACUUUGAAAAGAGAAUUAAAAGAGCCUGAAAUUGUUGAGCAGAAAGCAAACAGACAUGUGCACAAUGGUAAGACUGCUGCAUUCCUUCCUGCAGAUUGUGUGUGGAAGUGUGUGCAAUGGUUCUUGCGUUGAACACCAGCUUUGCUACUUGAAAUCAUUAUUCAUGUGUAUGAAUGAAAAUUUGUUUUCGGGCAAUGCAACGCAUGCAUAUGAUAUGAUGUUGGGUUGCUUUGUGGCACAUGGCCUGGCUUGGUGCACUUGGAUUAGGAAGGGUGCCCUUCCUGUGUGUCGCUCAUGACUUUGUGUUUUGUUGCUGGAAAUUGGUUCUGCUUGACCCGUCUUGAAACACGGACCAAGGAGUCUAACAGAUGUGCAAGCUUGUGGGUGGAAUGCCUUCUGGCGCAAUGAAAGCAUUUGCUGGGAUUCUUGCACCAGCAGCCGACUGAUUAAUGGAGAGAGGUUUGAGUUUGAGCACAUCUAUUAGGACUCGAAAGAUGGUGAACUAUGCCUGAUUAGAAUGAAUUCAGAGGAAACUCUGGUGAAGGUUCGUAUCGUUACUGACGUGCAAAUCGUUCGUCAUACUUGGGUAUAGGGGCGAAAGACUAAUCGAACCAUCUAGUAGCUGGUUCCCUCCGAAGUUUCCCUCAGGAUAGCUGAUUUUGAAAAAGUCUUAUCAGGUAAAGCGAAUGAUAAGAGGAAUUGGGGGCGUGCUGUUCUUGACCUAUUCUCAAACUUUAAAUGGGUAAGAAGCAAUGGUUGCUUUAAUGAACCUUUGGAACAGAUGAUAUUUUCAGGUGGGCCAUUUUUGGUAAGCAGAACUGGCGAUGAGGGAUGAACCUAUCGUUGGGUUAAGGUGCUUAAUGGCUCGCUCACGAGAUACCAGAAAGGGUGUUGCUUCAUUUUAACAGCAGGACGGUGGUCAUGGAAGUCGGAAUCCGCUAAGGAGUGUGUAACAACUCCCCUGCCGAAUGGACUAACCCCGAAAAUGGAUGGCGCUAAAGCGGGUGGCUGGUACCCAACCAUUGGUGCAAUAACAUUGCCCAGUGUGUAGGGGGGCAUGAUGGUUUGUGAUGCAGCCUGUGGCGAAAGUCC